Molecule: non-coding RNA, 113 nt
Organism: Acanthosepion pharaonis
Lineage: Eukaryota; Metazoa; Mollusca; Cephalopoda; Sepiida; Sepiidae
Source: the annotation of a GenBank genome assembly
UUACGGCCACUUCAUGUUGAAACACUAGUUCUGGCACGAUCACCAAAGUUAAGCAAUGUUGUGGCUGGUCAGUACCUAGAUGGGCGACCACUUGGGAAUUCCAGGUGCUGUAA